RNAcentral lists this long non-coding RNA (10193 nucleotides) under Nicotiana tabacum (common tobacco). RNAcentral's name for it is "long non-coding RNA (NTAB_LNC013486)". The record is from RNAcentral. Lineage: Eukaryota; Viridiplantae; Streptophyta; Magnoliopsida; Solanales; Solanaceae.
GGGUCGGAAACUCGAAAUCGUAAGCCCUCACUAAGACAAUACUGAGUCUACAAGUAAUGUCACCCGAUCCAAGAAACCCUUGAUGACUCGGGGACUAUCGUCAAUCGCCAUCUCCAUCGACUUACCAAAACCCGAGGCCGUAAGGCCACAUGUGGGCAGCCUCGAUCUCGUAAGACCUACAUAAGGAAAAAACAACAUCUGUAAGACCUCAAGCAAGGCAUGAACAAUACUUGUACCAAGUAUCCAAAAUUGUAAAACCUCAAAGGCAUGAAAAACUUGUAAGACCUUACUAAAGGCAUAAACCCGACCUCAAUGUUUUGGCUAUAUAUCGAACUUGUAAGACCCCUAAAAAGGCAUACCGUCAAUAUAGAUGCCGAAACUACUUCACUCGGGACUUAAAGGCUCCGGCCAAACACAAAUGACUCCUAUCACAAGGCUAUACCAGCUAAACUAACACGACUCGGGGAUGCCCGACCGUCGCUAUAAAUCACAGGCCUUCAAUUACUCUGAAUGUACUUGGGAAAAAAUUGGUUAAACAGGCUACCCUCGACAUAGGCAAAAGAGCUUCGACCACAUCAACUCCUAAACAACUGGCUUCGAGAUACUCAACCUCUGAGCCAAACCUUUCGAGGUGCUCGAUCAUUGCCAUAUAACGACUCACAAUCGAGGUUUUUUAUUAAACCGUCGAAGAGUCAGGCAAACAUUAUUUCAAAAAGUACAUAAUGAGGGAAAAUCAAAGCCUAUAUAAAAGGUCGCAUCGACCCAAGGCAUAAGAGCAUUAUCACCAGACCACACAUAUAAAAGGUUGUACCGAACCAACGCACAAGAGCCUAGGGCCAGCUUGCAAUUCAAAGACUUGAGGGUCAAAUGAGCUCGAGUCGUAACCCGAUUCGGAGACUGAACCCAAAAAAUUUAACUAAAUAUGCCUAAGGCCAAAAGUGUAAGAGCCAAUAUCGCCAACCUAUAUACACUAAAGGGUCGCAUCGACCAAAAGCGUAAGAGCCAUUGUUGCCAGCCCACUUACACUAAAAGGUCACAUCGACCAAAAGCGUAAGAGCCAUUGUCGCUAGCCUAAAAUUCGACAACUUGAGGGUUGAAUAAAGCUCGAGUCGAUGCCUGACUUGGGGAUUAAGCCCAAAAUAGUUGGCCUAAAUAUGCCUAAGAGCAAAAGCGCGUAAGAUCCUAAGCUCAAAGAGCCUUAAGGCUAUACCAUGAAUCUAAGGAUUCCCCUCAGCUCAAAAACCAGUUCAUCUGGCUAAAAUCAAGGCAAAAAAGAAAUGAGGGAGAAAUAAAACCGCAAGGUUUCUUCUUUAUACACACAUGCGGAAAAAUACAAGCUUAAUUUACAAACAUGCUUUGAGAAUGCUAUAUGGCCCAUCGGCCUCACCUUCGCUUUCCUCGGCGUCGGACAGAAGCAACCGAGCACCACGCUCGUCCGCCCUCGCCUGCGCCAACUCUUCUGAGAGGUUAAAUCCCCUAGCGCGGAUCUCCUCGAGGGUUUUCCUCCGAGACUUACACCGAGCGUAUUCUUUGCUCCUAUAUUCGUGGUAAUGAUCUUUCUCAGCUUAGCUUGAGCAUCGGCAACAUCAUUCAAAUAGACCGUCACUUCCUGAUCAACCUUAGUUCAGCUCAUGACAGCUUUAGCUCGGGCAUCCACAAUCUCGGCCCUUAUCUUCGAGAGCUCGGUCUCAUCUUCGCAAUCGUAUCUUUUUAAACCAAGCUAUUAUCACGAACUAAGCGAAGUUGGACCUCAAAAGCAGAAACCUUAGCCAGAGCACCCUCCUCCAUCGAAGCCUGAGCAUCUGCCUGAACCUUUAACUCAUCAUACUUGCGCUUGGCUCGGCCAACCUGGUCUCGAAGGUGCUCCAAGCGCUCUACCUUUUUCUGCAAUAGAAAUAAACAAAACAUUAGCUUCAGGAGCUAGAAGUAGGAACGCCUGCUCGCUCGGAACAAAAAAUACCUGCUCCUUCAAGUAGCUCUCAUAAUUCAAACUCCGACUCGCCUCAUACCAUAAGUAUGCCAAUUCGACUUCCCUUUUAUCACAAAGGAGCCUCAGGGAUUUCUCCUCAUCCAGAGCUUUCCACAGCCUGGCCUCACAGUGAAGCAGCUCGGACUUAAACUUGUCGAAGGCCUGUAAAAGAAACCUCAGUAAGGAAGGGAAGGCGCGAAACUCGAAAGGCCUGUGCCAAAAACUCACCACAGAGUGAAGGUGCUGUGCUUCCUCGAAGGUUGAGUGCACAUCUACUAACCUAGUUCCCUCAGCUCUGAAAAAUUUGACCCCAACCUAGGCACGAUCGCUUGGUGCAUAUGAUCCCGGGUUUUGAGUAUUCCUAGAAGUACCUCCAAUGGAAAAAGAAGGCAACAACGGAGGAUAAACCGCCUCUCCAAAACUAGAAAUCACGGGCGCGACAGGCUCAAUCAAUACUUCCACUCUAGGCCCCCGGCCUAGGUUCGCCUUGCCCCGAGCGCCAUCGCCCUGCAAUAGUAUCUCUUGCUUAUUGUUAACAUUCUUUAGCCCAGAAGCUAGCGAUCCUUCCUACCCCCCAAGGGGACACGACCUCGCCUCAGAAGGCUCCCCGAUUCCUAUAAUAAUAGGGUUAACACGCUGAAAGAGAAAGUGUUUUUUCAACUAAAAGAAGGGAACAGAUCGCACGACACAUACCGGGGUAUUUUGCCUUCCACCUGUCCUUAGAUAAAGCUUGCCACUUACGCUCGUUGUAAGUCGAGUGGGUCGGCAACUUUCGAACCCAAUCCGGCAGAUCGGGAACCUUGCCCGACAUCCACAAAAUCUCUGUAGAAAAAGAAAAGAAGGCACACUUACGGAACACCUUCACCAUAAUUGAAGAACUGUGAAGGCACGAGUGUAGCACUUACGUGUAUAAUUCCAUUCCUCAGGGAAUGACAUAAACUCCACGGGGAUAAUAUCUGCAGUUCGUACUCAGACGAAUCGACUCAUCCACUCCCGACCCCCGUCUUCUUCAUUAUCGACAAUGAAAGGCAUGGCCGACUGGCAUCGUAAGGUUUGUAGACCUCAAUGAUGAAAGGGCCGGUGUAGUCUGAUAAGAUGGCUAAGCGUAAAUUCAAGCCCUGCCUUCUCCACAAAGAACCUCACCAUCAACACUAUCCACCAAAAUGACGGGUGAAUCUGGGCCAAGGUAACCUGAUACUUUCGACAGAAGUCAAGCACAAUCCUAUCAAGGGGGCCCAGCAUGAAGGGAUACGUGAACACAUUCAGAAACCCCUCGGCACAGUCUGUAAUACUCUCAUCCGGGGAAGGUACCUACAGUACUACCUUUUCUCCCCAUCCAUAGUCUUUCCUCACCGACCCAAGGUGUUCCUCUCCUAUCAAAGAAGUAAACUUCAAGGUAUGCUCCCGUUGAUCCUGAGCAUUGGUGCACUUUUUUGACGAAAAUUCCCCUUUCAAAGCAAAAUGCCCCGAGCCAACAAGGUGAGAACCGGAGGCGGAACCCUCCCCUCCUUACCAAACGGGUCCUGAUGUAGCAAUCAUGACUAUAGCAAAAUCGGAGAACUGGAGCGGGAAUUUAGGCCAGAGCAUCAAUAACUGAAAUAAUGAAAAGCCUAACGCAGGAAAAAAAGGUAAUUUCUCAGAAUGGUGGAAUCUCCAAAAGGGCGGAAACAGCCCUAUAUAUGGAAAAAACGGCAACGAUCUGCCUGCCCUAGAGGCCUAUUAAAAUGUUGGCCAAAACCACUUUGGGAAGAUAUGCCGGCGAAGUCGCCUCGGUCACUUUACAACCGUGUCACCUAUUUGACAAGCGUCGUGUGAUGUUUCGGGGUCGGAAACCCCAGCACCAAACAAGUGCCGAGGUGGUACCCGACCUCGAGGACCUCCAUCAAAAGAAGAAAGGCUCCAAGAAGCCAUUAAUAUCACUAUCAGCCCCGAGGUGGUACCCGACCUCGAGGACCUCCAUAAAAAAAAGUUAGGCUCCAGGAAGCCUUUGGCAUCAUCACCAGUCCCGAGAUAGUACUCGAUCUCGAGGACCCCUACCAAAAAAAGGAAAGGCUCAAAGAAGCCAUUAAUAUCACUACAAGUCCCCAGAUAGUACUCGAUCUCGGGGACCUCCAUCAAAAAGAAGUUAGGCUCUAGGAAGCCUCUAGCAUCAUCGCCAGACCCGAGAUGGUACCCGAUCUCGGGGAUCUCUCCAAGGGGCCAUCGAUAUCAUUACAAGACUCGAGAUGGUACCCGGUUUCGAAGGCUCCUCUCAAGGAGAAAAAUAAACACUUAAAACUCUGUUCGUAUGGGCUUGGCCUCGGGAUACCAUCUAAACCCGGGCAGUCCCUCAUCUGGGAUCUACCUAUAACACUUUAAGCUAUAUACACUAAGUUCAAGACAAGUUUCCAGACGACCCGAGUUAACCCUCACUCGGGGACUGCUCUCAAAAGCCUAAAGGCAGUCUCCAUUCUCGAGCUUCCGAGCGACUCCCCCCUUGAAUAUUAUCGCCGGGUCUAAAGGCUAAAUCUCGAUUUGGGGGUCCGAAGCCCUACUCUCAUUCAACUCGAAAUCAGGGUCCUGACGACCCGAGUAUAUCAGUCCAACCCGGGCUCAAUAUUUGCACCAACCGAUGGGGUCAUUCACUUAGAUUCUACAUAAGCAUAGAUAAAGGUAAAAUUGUAUGCAUCAAAGACAAAUUAAAGAAACAUUUUUCAUUCAUAAACAUUCGAUUACAAAAACCAACGAGGGAUCCUUACAUAUUAUUACAAAAGCCCACAAGGGGUCCUUACACAGAAACAAAGAAGCAAAAAGGUACACAUAUGGUAAAGGCCUAGAGCCUAGCCUAUUCUCGAAGAUGCAUCCUCGACGGCAGUAUCUUCGAGCGCCAUCUCCCCGGGAGUCUCAUCUUGGUCCUCCCGAAUGAUAUCUCUAAGGGCGAAGAUGAAGAAGAGGAAAGUGGUGGAGAAGAGCAAAGUGAUGCAGAAGAAGUAGAAAGGAAUGAAGAAGUGGCUGGGUGAAAAUUCUGGCUAGUAUGGAUUUCGCCAGUACUACUAUUGUAAAGCCACUUCUUGGGACGUUGCCCCGGUGCGGGAUGCAACAGUUAGUAGAUAGUACCACCUUACUCCACGGAAAGUAAAAGGAGUGAGGCGUUGCACUGGGUAAUCGGGGGAGGUGAGCAGUGGUGUAUAGUCCGAACUCCCUCAUGAGCACCGGUAUAAAGUCCAAAUAUUUCCCGAGUCGGGAGAAAUCAGUCCCAUAUCUCCUCGCCUCGAACCAACGACGACAGCAGUAAUAACAACAACAACAAGAAGAAGUUGGUAUAGUAUCACUCGAUAGGGAAGGGCCCCAGGGAAAAACCAUGGCAUAACUGAUGAGAACGCCACCAGACAGCCUCGAGGCCACGGGCCUCAGACAUGGGAAAUGAAAACGGAUGAGGAUGGAAAGAAGAAAUGGGAGAAAGGUUGAUUGAAGAACACUUGAACAAAAAGUUGGUUCCAGGAGGCCCCCAUUUAUAGGAGGGGCGGAAACAUAACCAAUGAUGCCAUUAUUGUCAUUGAAAGACGUAACAGCAGGCACAUUUAAUGCAUCAUUGGGAACUGAAUGACGGCGACAUUACCGCUUUGAAGAAGAAGAAACGGUAAUGUUUUGAAUGAUUCUGGAAAGUUGAAAUGAUGGGACAUCUCGGUUGUCACGGAGGCUUGCGCCAUUAGUAUGAUGUCAUCGCAGGAAAUUCAGAAAGAUGGUUAUCAAGGUCAUUUCUUAUCAUUCUACUCUAAUAAACGCGGGGACUAUAUGUAUACGGUAAAAUAUGAGGGUCCAAUUUUCCAUCGUUAUAACGCCUCGAAGGAUUGAAAUCAGAGUCGAGUUUAUCCCUUGAGGGCCAUCGACACUCGACCUCGGGAGAGUAUGAGGCCGACGGUUACGGGAAGAAAAUGGGGAGUUCCCAAGGCAUGAAACUAGAGUCGACAAAAUCUGUCAGGCUAGUCUGAGCCCGUAUCGUGACAUUAGUUAGAUGUCCCAUCUCCAUAUCUUUGUAAUAAAUGUACUUGUACUAUGUUGGGAUUCCCCCUCUUAUAUAAAGGGGAUCCUUGUUAUUUUGUAAACAUCUGUUGCUCCAUACUAAAUAUACAAGAACAUUCUCCCUGCUCUUUAACACAUUCUCUCAGUUUUGUUAUCUUAUUUAUCGCCCAUAUUUUGUUGGGUUCUACUUAUUGUUCAUCAUUUAUUACUUAUUAUUGGCCAUAAAGAGCUGCCUUUGAUCUAUUUAUAACUGUUAUUCACCAUCGACCACCUUCGAUAGCUCCCAGCCGAGCUUCAGACUUGACCUUGAGGCCCUCGUAUAGGCAAGCUUGAGGCCCCGAGUGACAACGAUUCGGUUUGAUUAACCCCUCGUCCUAAGUUCUUAUUUCGUUUCUUAGUCUUUCACAUAGCAUCAACUGCCUUAUAACUAGCAUAAAAAUAUAUCACGUAUUUUUAGAACCACUAAAUUAAAUUUAAUUGUUAUUACCAUUUUCACGGUAAACAAUAAGCAUUCAUCUGUCACCAUCAGAGAAAGAAGAGUACACCUGUUUUCUGAAAGAAUACGAAGAUAUCUUUGCAUGGUCUUAUGAUGAUAUGACCGAUUUGAGCACAUCUAUUGUGGCUCAUAAACUACCUACCAAUCCGAUAUGUCUGCAUGUAAAGCAGAAACUCAGAAAGUUCAAGCCGGAUAUGAGUCUAAAAAUUAAAGAGGAAGUCACCAAGCAGAUCAAAAUUAAGGUUCUCAGAGUGGUAGAAUACCCUAGUUGGUUGGAUAACAUCGUGCCAGUUCUGAAGAAGGAUGGGAAGGUCAGAGUAUGUGUUGACUAUCGGGAUUUAAACAAAGCAAGUCCCAAAGAUGAUUUUCCAUUGUCCAAUAUACACAUACUGAUCGNCAACUGUNNNNNNNNNNNNNUGCUUCGCGGGAUACCAUCAGAUCUGGAUGGAUGAAGAAGAUGCAGAGAAAAUAACCUUUAUCACUCCCUAGGGGAUGCAUUGUUAUAAAAUGAUAUUAACCUGAAGAAUGCUGGAGCCACUUAUAUGAGAUCUAUGACGACUAUUUUCUAUGACAUGAUUCACAAAGAAAUAGAGGUGUGCGUGGGUGAUGUCAUCAUCAAAUCCAGAAGAAGCACAUAUCACAUAGCAGACUUAAGGAAAUUGUUUAAUCGGCUUCAAAGGUACAAUCUAAAACUGAAUCCUACAAAGUGUGCCUUUAGAGUCCCUGCUGGAAAAUUGCUAGGUUUCAUCGUCAGUCGCUGAGGGAUUGAACUAGACUCUUGAAUGAUCAAAUCUAUCCAAGAUUUGCCACUGCUAAAGCAUAAGAAAGGUGUGAUGAGCUUUUUGCGGCAUCUCAAUUACAUCUGUCGCUUCAUAGCACAAUCGACCGUGAUCUAUGAGCCAAUUUUCAAAAUGCUGAAGAAAUAUGCUGCAACAAGUUGGACUGAAGAAUAUCAAAAAGCUUUUGACAGAAUCAAGGAGUAUUUGUCCACACUACCAGUCUUGGUCCCGCCGGAACCUGGUAGACCUCUGCUACUCUAUCUGUCCAUACUAGAUGGAGCUUUCAGUUGUGUCUUGGGACAAUACGACGAGACAGGAAGAAAAGAACAUGCCAUAUAUUAUCUGAGUAAGAAGUUCACACCCUAUGAAGCACGUUAUUCUUUGCUGGAACGCACCUCCUGCGCCCUGAAGUGGAUAACGCAGAAAUUGAGGCACUACUUUUGUGCCUACACUACAUAUCUCAUAUCAAGGAUGGAUCCUCUAAAAUACAUUUUCCAGAAAUCAAUACUUACCAGGAAACUAGCAAAAUGGAAGAUAUUGUUGAGUAAAUUUGAUAUUGUCUAUAUGACUCAGAAGGCGUUCAAAGGACAGACAUUAGUGGAUCAUCAUGCGGAAAAUCCUGUAGGAGGAGAAUAAGAACAACUGAAAACAUAUUUUCCCAAUGAAGAAGUAUCAUUUGUAGGAGAAGAUAUCACCGAAACCUACGACGGUUGGAGAAUGUUCUUUGAUGGUGCUGCAAAUUUCAAAGGAGUGGGUAUUGGAGUUGUUUUGGUGUCAAAGAUAGGUUAACAUUAUCUGGUAUCUACAAAACUCAGGUUUCCGUGCACCAACAAUAUGGCAGAAUACGAGGCUUGCAUCUUGGGGCUUAAUUUGGUCAUUGACAUGAAUAUCCAAGAAUUAUUGGUAAUGGUGAUUCAGACCUUUUCAAAAGGUUCUAGGAGAGUAAGCUAAAAAGAAUACCAAAAUAUUACCUUAUUUAUAUCAUGUGCAAGAGUUGAUGAAGAGGUUCAUAAAGAUAGAGUUCAAACAUGUUCCGAGAAUUUAGAAUGAGUUCGCCGAUGCAUUGGCUACUUUAUCUUCCUUGAUACAACACCUGGACAAGAAUUUCAUCGACCCUAUUGUCACACCUCCUUUUUACCACCCCCCAGAAGAGGGUGUAAGGGAGUUUUUUCCAAUUUAAGUGACAAUCGAAACGAGAUUAUUUAUAUUAAAUCAGAGUCGCCACUUGGGAUAAUUUAUGGUGUCCCAAGUCAUCAUUUUAAAUCCCGAAUCGAGGAAAGAUUGACUCUGUUUUACAUUUUGCGAACACAGAAAUCUAGGUAAGGAAUUCUGUUAACCUGGAAGAAGGUGUUAGGCAUUCUCGGGUUCCGUGGUUUUAGCAUGGUCGCUCAACUAUUAUUAUUGGCCUAACUAUCUGAUUUUUACAUGUUUUAAAAUGUUUUUUGAACUGAUUUUGCUGGAACUUCCAUCUCCGAGGCCAAUUUGAACUGCCCAUUUUUCUAGGAAUAGAAUCAAAGCAACCCAUUCUGACAUGUUUCCUUUCUACAAUGCCCACUUCAUCUUUACCUUCCAAAGUUCGCAGUUUUGGAGUUAAAUCCGUUAAUACAAACAAGAAGCUCAAUAAUUUAUGCUAAGUCCAAAAAAUUCUCAAUCUCUCUUCUCAAGGCCAUCUUAAACAAGCUUUCCAUCACCUUAACAUCCUAACUCGCAAAGGCAUUCACUUAGAAAGUAAAACUCUAGCUUCUCUCAUUCAACAUUGUGCCAAUUCAAAGUCAUAUAGAGAAGGAGAAUGGAUCUAUUUCCAUCUCAAAACCACUGGGUGGAAGCACCCCACUACUUUUCUUGCCAAUCAUUUGAUUAACAUGUAUGACAAAUGUGGUGAUCAUAUUGAAACACGUAAAGUGUUUGAUAAAAUGACUACGAGAAAUUUGUAUUACUGGAAUAAUAUGCUUUCUAGGUAUGCUAAGUCAGGCAUGGUAAAGGCUGCUAACAGACUGUUUGACAAAAUACCAUCGAAGAAUAAAAAGUGAUUAUGAAAAGAAGUGUCUUCAAGUCUAAAUGCACUAUAAUCACGCCAAACACCCUCAGAAGAAACUUGAAAGUACAACAUCAAAGCAAGAGCAAAAUUUAUAAUGUUUACAUCAAGCAAAUUUAUUAACAGGAACACUAAGGGAACAUUUAGAAAUCAUAGUAAGAAACAGACCUUCACGGGUGGAAAACAACCUUCAAUGUAUUAACAAAGAGAAAUGUAAACCAGACUUUAUACAAUAGCAAUGGCCGCUCAGUUAGGAAAACUGAAAUUCAACAACAACAUCGGAAUCGGAAACGUGAAUAGGACCUCGGCCGGAAACCUUCUAACUCGAACGGAUUUUUGGAACUAGAACUUGACUAUAGGAGCAUCCUUUCAACUUCAAUUGAGGAGCUCGUAUUUACUGAUUUUCUGUGACAGUUUUGAGGACUGUUCGGUACUUUUUCGCUGCUGUAUUUUGGAGGUGAAGAGGAGGUGUGGUAGCCGGACAUGGAGAAGGGAGAUUGGUUUUUUUUUUUUGCGGCUGGUGGUCUUGUUUUUGAAGAAAAGAGUCGCUGGUCUUGUUCUCCUUAUUUGUUAAUGAUUUUGGAAAUACAGUGGGUCAUGAAAAUGGAAAACAAGGAUCCCUUUACUAUAUUUUAACUUGGGGAAGAUAAACUCAUUUUUGGGAGUGUUUCAAUUUUGAAAAUUGGGUAGGCAGAGAUUUAUGCGGUUGCCUUCUCCAAGGGUAGUCAUUCUUUUUGGUUUCUUGGUGUGUGUCUUGAUAUUAGGAUUUUAUGGAGUUGAUUGAAAAGGGAGAAGCCAUUUUUGUUUUGGAGUAUUUUACAUUCUUGAGAUUGGCCAUGGCUGCUAUCUCUUAGGGUAGGGAUCUAGGGCCUUGUUUGUUUUAUAGGUUUUUUUAGGUUAGGGGUAUGGGCC